RNAcentral lists this ribosomal RNA (1084 nucleotides) under uncultured soil eukaryote. RNAcentral's name for it is "SSU rRNA". It matches the Rfam family "Eukaryotic small subunit ribosomal RNA", at positions 13 to 1358 of the family's 1831-position model. The record is from RNAcentral.
CCUGCCAGUAGUCAUAUGCUUGUCUUAAAGAUUAAGCCAUGCAUGUCUAAGUUUAAGUGUUCUUACAACGAAACCGCGAAUGGCUCAUUAAAUCAGUUAUAGUUUACUUGGUCGAUGCUUACUACUUGGAUAACUGUAGUAAUUCUAGAGCUAAUACAUGCAAAAGACCCCAACUCUUCGGGGAAGGGGUGGCAUUAUCCACUUCAACGCUACUCGGGGUUCACGCCCUGUAUUACUUGAAUGGAGAUAAUUGUCCGAAUCGCGAGAACCGUAAGGCGGCGAUAGACCAACCAAGUUUCUGCCCUAUCAACUUGAUGGUAGUGUAUUGGACUACCAUGGUUAUAACGGGUAACGGGGAAUUAGGGUUCGAUUCCGGAGAGGGAGCCUGAGAGAUGGCUACCACUUCCAAGGAAGGCAGCAGGCGCGCAAAUUACCCAAUCUCAGUACGAGGAGGUAGUGACGAUAAAUAACGAUAUGGAUCCUUCGGGGUCCAUAAUCGGAAUGAGCACAGUGUAAAUAUCUUAACGAGGAACAAUUGGAGGACAAGUCUGGUGCCAGCACCCGCGGUAAUUCCAGCUCCAAGAGCGUAUAUUAAAGUUGUUGCAGUUAAAAAGCUCGUAGUCUGAAUUUGAGGAUUCUGGUAGUUUAGGGGCAUAUUCUUUCGUCUUGCACAUAUUAGCAUGGGACAAUGAAAGAAGACCGCGUCAGAGUCUGGUAGUAACUCGGGCGCGGUAAUGAUCGAUAGGGGCGAUGGGGGCGGUUGGUAUUCAGCGGCUAGAGGUGAAAUUCUUAGAUUCGCUGCAGACUCCCGGAAGCAAAAGCGUUCCGCUACUGUACCCCCGUUGAUCAAGAACGAAAGUUAGGGGAUCGAAGACGAUCAGAUACCGUCGUAGUCUUAACUAUAAACGAUGCGGACCAGAGGUUAAGCCUCAUCCUUACUCACUCGGUCAGGACAUAGUAAGGAUUGACAGAUUGAUAGCUCUUUCUUAAUUUCUAUGGGUGGUGGUGCAUGGUCGUUCUUAGUUGGUGGAGUGAUUUGUCUGGUUAAUUCCGAUAACGAACGAGACCUCAGCUUGUUAACUAG